ACGAAGGGUGCAAGCGUUACUCGGAAUUACUGGGCGUAAAGCGUGCGUAGGUGGUUUGUUAAGUCUGAUGUGAAAGCCCUGGGCUCAACCUGGGAACGGCAUUGGAUACUGGCUUACUAGAGUGCGGUAGAGGGUAGUGGAAUUCCCGGUGUAGCAGUGAAAUGCGUAGAUAUCGGGAGGAACACCAGUGGCGAAGGCGAGUCUCUGGGAUGAUGCUGACGCUGAGGCGCGAAAGCCAGGGGAGCAAACGGGA
This 253-nucleotide ribosomal RNA is filed under the name uncultured prokaryote. RNAcentral's name for it is "partial 16S ribosomal RNA". It matches the Rfam family "Bacterial small subunit ribosomal RNA", at positions 525 to 777 of the family's 1533-position model. The record is from RNAcentral.